Alexandromys fortis (reed vole) is the source of this 666-nucleotide long non-coding RNA. RefSeq lists it as uncharacterized. NCBI's taxonomy places the organism in Eukaryota, Metazoa, Chordata, Mammalia, Rodentia, Cricetidae. The record is from RefSeq and is a predicted model, not a curated record. The transcript is spliced from 3 exons.
AUGCUUCCUUCCUUCUCCCUCUACCCCUCUCUCUUUCUUUCUUGGUCUCACUGUGUAGCCCAGGCUUGCCUCAAGCUCACCAACCUCCUGAUUCUGCCCUCCAAGUGCUGGUAUUCUAGGCAGAUGUCUGGUUUGGAAUUCAAGAUUCUGAGAUCUCUGCAUCCAGACAUCUACCGGCGCUGCAGUGAGAAGAGGGAGCAUGGAGCAUUCCUUACAGACAAGAUGCCAAGGAAGUCGUAGCUGGGACAAACCUGAGAAUACUUCCUCCAAAGCUACGAAUGUUAUCCUGUAGGACCUGGGCGGCAUGGAGGUCCUGGUCAGCCCGAGCUACAGAGAUCAGACCUUGUCAGAAAAAAAGAAAAAGGAAGAAAGAACGAACGAAAGAAAGAAAGAAGUCAGAAAGACAGAAAGAGAGAGAGAGAGAGGACAUGAAGGAGCUAGAGCUUCUCUCUUCUCUCCCCACCUUUAAAGUCUCCCCAAAGAGAGAAAACUACAUCUUUUACAGUUGCUUUAAAAAUUGCAGUUGAUUUUGAUCUUUUGUGUGUUUAGGGGGAGGGGAACACUUGGGGGAGGAGACAUUUUUGAGAGUCAGUUCUCUACUGUGUGGGUCCAAGGAAUCAGGCCUUCAGGUGACUGGUUGAGUCACCACACAAACAAUGGGGUAAG